GAAUGCUGACAUAAGUAACGAUAAAGCGGGUGAAAAGCCCGCUCGCCGGAAGACCAAGGGUUCCUGUCCAACGUUAAUCGGGGCAGGGUGAGUCGACCCCUAAGGCGAGGCCGAAAGGCGUAGUCGAUGGGAAACAGGUUAAUAUUCCUGUACUUGGUGUUACUGCGAAGGGGGGACGGAGAAGGCUAUGUUGGCCGGGCGACGGUUGUCCCGGUUUAAGCGUGUAGGCUGGUUUUCCAGGCAAAUCCGGAAAACCAAGGCUGAGGCGUGAUGACGAGGCACUACGGUGCUGAAGCGACAAAUGCCCUGCUUCCAGGAAAAG
This 322-nucleotide ribosomal RNA is filed under the name Escherichia coli. Its description in RNAcentral is "partial 23S ribosomal RNA". It matches the Rfam family "Bacterial large subunit ribosomal RNA", at positions 1292 to 1617 of the family's 2925-position model. Lineage: Bacteria; Pseudomonadati; Pseudomonadota; Gammaproteobacteria; Enterobacterales; Enterobacteriaceae. The record is from RNAcentral.